UACAGAGGUCUCAAGCGUUGUUCGGAUUCAUUGGGCGUAAAGGGUGCGUAGGCGGCGGAGUAAGUUGGGUGUGAAAUCCCGGGGCUUAACCUCGGAAUGGCAUUCAAUACUGCUUCGCUUGAGUACUGGAGAGGAGGCUGGAAUUUACGGUGUAGCAGUGAAAUGCGUAGAUAUCGUAAGGAAGGCCGGUGGCGAAAGCGAGCCUCUGGACAGUUACUGACGCUGAUGCACGAAGGCCAGGGGAGCAAACGGG
This 253-nucleotide ribosomal RNA is filed under the name uncultured bacterium. RNAcentral describes it as "partial 16S ribosomal RNA". It matches the Rfam family "Bacterial small subunit ribosomal RNA", at positions 524 to 776 of the family's 1533-position model. The record is from RNAcentral.